CAGGGUGGACAUUUAGCUGCUAUUAAUCUCGAGUCUAGAGCCGCCUUGCUUGCAGCUAAACAGGGAUUUAGUGGUGCUGCCGCAAGAUAUCUGGGUUUUAGAAGCAUGACGACUUUGCUUGGCCCAAUGCUUUGGGGCACAUUUCUGGCAGAUGUUGUCAUUCAAAUGCUUGGGACUGAUUAUGCUAGAAUUUUGCGAGCAAUUUAUGCUUUUGCACAGAUCCGCGUCACCCGCACGUAUAGAUUACCAUCUGAUGCUGACUGAAGAAUUUGAUGUUUUGGAAGGUUGCAUUUUAAAUACUUGAGAUGGUAGAUUGAGAGCUUCUGUUGGUAAUUUUGCUGCUUUGACAUGAAGGUAUAUAUAUACUAGUUUGGCUGCAUGACAACCUAGCUUUGUGGAUAUUGUCCAUAACUUUUGUUUUGUUUUUUUUGACUCUCUAUAAUGAAUAUGGAUUUACUGACACUUGGUAAAUUGGAUUAUCUUUCUAGUAUUGUGGUGCGAAUUAACUCUGAAUUUUGUAAAGUGAAGAUUCAUCUUCUACCUUAUCACCUACUCUAUCUAUCUCAAGUCUCAACAUAAACUUCCAGCUA
Corylus avellana is the source of this 590-nucleotide non-coding RNA. The record is from RefSeq and is a predicted model, not a curated record. NCBI's taxonomy places the organism in Eukaryota, Viridiplantae, Streptophyta, Magnoliopsida, Fagales, Betulaceae.